RNAcentral lists this ribosomal RNA (450 nucleotides) under uncultured bacterium. Its description in RNAcentral is "bacterial SSU rRNA". It matches the Rfam family "Bacterial small subunit ribosomal RNA", at positions 354 to 796 of the family's 1533-position model. The record is from RNAcentral.
GUGGGGAAUAUUGGACAAUGGGCGAAAGCCUGAUCCAGCCAUGCCGCGUGUGUGAAGAAGGUCUUCGGAUUGUAAAGCACUUUAAGUUGGGAGGAAGGGCAUUAACCUAAUACGUUAGUGUUUUGACGUUACCAACAGAAUAAGCACCGGCUAACUUCGUGCCAGCAGCCGCGGUAAUACGAAGGGUGCAAGCGUUAAUCGGAAUUACUGGGCGUAAAGCGCGCGUAGGUGGUUCAGUAAGUUGGAAGUGAAAUCCCCGGGCUCAACAUGGGAACGGCUUUCAAAACUGCGGAGCUAGAGUACGGUAGAGGGUGGUGGAAUUUCCUGUGUAGCGGUGAAAUGCGUAGAUAUAGGAAGGAACACCAGUGGCGAAGGCGACCACCUGGACUGAUACUGACACUGAGGUGCGAAAGCGUGGGGAGCAAACAGGAUUAGAUACCCUUGUAGUCC